This 482-nucleotide ribosomal RNA is filed under the name uncultured bacterium. Its description in RNAcentral is "partial 16S ribosomal RNA". It matches the Rfam family "Bacterial small subunit ribosomal RNA", at positions 28 to 523 of the family's 1533-position model. The record is from RNAcentral.
GAUGAACGCUGGCGGCGUGCUUAACACAUGCAAGUCGAACGGUGAAGCAGGAGCUUGCUCUUGUGGAUCAGUGGCGAACGGGUGAGUAACACGUGAGCAACCUGCCCCUGACUCUGGGAUAAGCGCUGGAAACGGCGUCUAAUACUGGAUAUGUGAUGUGACCGCAUGGUCUGCAUCUGAAAAGAAUUUCGGUUGGGGAUGGGCUCGCGGCCUAUCAGCUUGUUGGUGAGGUAAUGGCUCACCAAGGCGUCGACGGGUAGCCGGCCUGAGAGGGUGACCGGCCACACUGGGACUGAGACACGGCCCAGACUCCUACGGGAGGCAGCAGUGGAGAAUAUUGCACAAUGGGCGGAAGCCUGAUGCAGCAACGCCGCGUGAGGGAUGACGGCCUUCGGGUUGUAAACCUCUUUUAGCAGGGAAGAAAAAAAUGACGGUACCUGCAGAAUAAGGGCCUGCAAAUCUCGUGCCAGCAGCCGCAGUAA